UUUGGUGGCGAUGCGUCCAAGGGAAACACCCGUUCCCAUCCCGAACACGAAUCGCAAUUGCUUGCAAUUGCACUCGGUUAAGCCUUGGACGGCCGAUGGUACUUGGUUGGAGACGACCUGGGAGAGUAGGUGGCUGCCAAUU
RNAcentral lists this ribosomal RNA (142 nucleotides) under Anaerotalea alkaliphila. Lineage: Bacteria; Bacillati; Bacillota; Clostridia; Eubacteriales. The record is from RNAcentral.